GCCUACAUGGUCUAGUGGUAAGACACCACUCUUCAAUGAAAUAUUGCGAUGCAAGUCUCGUGGAUACGACGGUUCGAAUCCCUCCAUAGGCA
Molecule: non-coding RNA, 92 nt
Organism: Mycena polygramma
Lineage: Eukaryota; Fungi; Basidiomycota; Agaricomycetes; Agaricales; Mycenaceae
Source: the annotation of a GenBank genome assembly